AUAAUGGGUCAGCGACUUAUAUUCUGUAGCAAGGUUAACCGAAUAGGGGAGCCGAAGGGAAACCGAGUCUUAACUGGGCGUUAAGUUGCAGGGUAUAGACCCGAAACCCGGUGAUCUAGCCAUGGGCAGGUUGAAGGUUGGGUAACACUAACUGGAGGACCGAACCGACUAAUGUUGAAAAAUUAGCGGAUGACUUGUGGCUGGGGGUGAAAGGCCAAUCAAACCGGGAGAUAGCUGGUUCUCCCCGAAAGCUAUUUAGGUAGCGCCUCGUGAAUUCAUCUCCGGGGGUAGAGCACUGUUUCGGCAAGGGGGUCAUCCCGACUUACCAACCCGAUGCAAACUGCGAAUACCGGAGAAUGUUAUCACGGGAGACACACGGCGGGUGCUAACGUCCGUCGUGAAGAGGGAAACAACCCAGACCGCCAGCUAAGGUCCCAAAGUCAUGGUUAAGUGGGAAACGAUGUGGGAAGGCCCAGACAGCCAGGAUGUUGGCUUAGAAGCAGCCAUCAUUUAAAGAAAGCGUAAUAGCUCACUGGUCGAGUCGGCCUGCGCGGAAGAUGUAACGGGGCUAAACCAUGCACCGAAGCUGCGGCAGCGACGCUGAUGCGUUGUUGGGUAGGGGAGCGUUCUGUAAGCCUGCGAAGGUGUGCUGUGAGGCAUGCUGGAGGUAUCAGAAGUGCGAAUGCUGACAUAAGUAACGAUAAAGCGGGUGAAAAGCCCGCUCGCCGGAAGACCAAGGGUUCCUGUCCAACGUUAAUCGGGGCAGGGUGAGUCGACCCCUAAGGCGAGGCCGAAAGGCGUAGUCGAUGGGAAACAGGUUAAUAUUCCUGUACUUGGUGUUACUGCGAAGGGGGGACGGAGAAGGCUAUGUUGGCCGGGCGACGGUUGUCCCGGUUUAAGCGUGUAGGCUGGUUUUCCAGGCAAAUCCGGAAAAUCAAGGCUGAGGCGUGAUGACGAGGCACUACGGUGCUGAAGCAACAAAUGCCCUGCUUCCAGGAAAAGCCUCUAAGCAUCAGGUAACAUCAAAUCGUACCCCAAACCGACACAGGUGGUCAGGUAGAGAAUACCAAGGCGCUUGAGAGAACUCGGGUGAAGGAACUAGGCAAAAUGGUGCCGUAACUUCGGGAGAAGGCACGCUGAUAUGUAGGUGAAGUCCCUCGCGGAUGGAGCUGAAAUCAGUCGAAGAUACCAGCUGGCUGCAACUGUUUAUUAAAAACACAGCACUGUGCAAACACGAAAGUGGACGUAUACGGUGUGACGCCUGCCCGGUGCCGGAAGGUUAAUUGAUGGGGUCAGCGCAAGCGAAGCUCUUGAUCGAAGCCCCGGUAAACGGCGGCCGUAACUAUAACGGUCCUAAGGUAGCGAAAUUCCUUGUCGGGUAAGUUCCGACCUGCACGAAUGGCGUAAUGAUGGCCAGGCUGUCUCCACCCGAGACUCAGUGAAAUUGAACUCGCUGUGAAGAUGCAGUGUACCCGCGGCAAGACGGAAAGACCCCGUGAACCUUUACUAUAGCUUGACACUGAACAUUGAGCCUUGAUGUGUAGGAUAGGUGGGAGGCUUUGAAGUGUGGACGCCAGUCUGCAUGGAGCCGACCUUGAAAUACCACCCUUUAAUGUUU
RNAcentral lists this ribosomal RNA (1618 nucleotides) under Escherichia coli. RNAcentral describes it as "partial 23S ribosomal RNA". It matches the Rfam family "Bacterial large subunit ribosomal RNA", at positions 612 to 2215 of the family's 2925-position model. Lineage: Bacteria; Pseudomonadati; Pseudomonadota; Gammaproteobacteria; Enterobacterales; Enterobacteriaceae. The record is from RNAcentral.